This 253-nucleotide ribosomal RNA is filed under the name uncultured bacterium. Its description in RNAcentral is "partial 16S ribosomal RNA". It matches the Rfam family "Bacterial small subunit ribosomal RNA", at positions 524 to 776 of the family's 1533-position model. The record is from RNAcentral.
UACGGAGGGAGCUAGCGUUGUUCGGAAUUACUGGGCGUAAAGCGCACGUAGGCGGCUUUGUAAGUUAGAGGUGAAAGCCCGGAGCUCAACUCCGGAAUUGCCUUUAAGACUGCAUCGCUUGAAUCCAGGAGAGGUGAGUGGAAUUCCGAGUGUAGAGGUGAAAUUCGUAGAUAUUCGGAAGAACACCAGUGGCGAAGGCGGCUCACUGGACUGGUAUUGACGCUGAGGUGCGAAAGCGUGGGGAGCAAACGGG